This is a non-coding RNA of Cinara cedri, 237 nucleotides long. The record is from the annotation of a GenBank genome assembly. NCBI's taxonomy places the organism in Eukaryota, Metazoa, Arthropoda, Insecta, Hemiptera, Aphididae.
CACAUAUACACAAUAAUACUACAUAAUAUUAUUCACUUCUAGGGAGUGUUUAGUAUUAUAAAUAAAUAAAAACGUAAUCAAUCAAUAAUGAUAUUCACAACGUGGAUGUUAAAACGCUAAACUUAACCUGUGUACCUGUCUCGAUAAAUUAUGGUUAAGGCCCUAGUUGGAAAAGGGCAGGGAGAGGGAACAAUAUUAGUUUUCAAUCAACAGGUGUAGAAGAAAUUAAAAUACUAG